GAACCCCUGGAACGCUCGUGAUUCCCAUCCCAGUGCUGACCGAACAAGCUUGCAAUUAGGGAUCCGGUUGAUGUUCCCCAUGUGCAUGCCCGACACCGAUCGGGAGUCCUUAAGGGAACACACUGGAGCCCGCCCUGGGAAACCGGGUUCCACAUUGGUACGGAACACGGCCUUUCUGGGGGCUCU
RNAcentral lists this non-coding RNA (186 nucleotides) under Desulfovibrionaceae bacterium. RNAcentral's name for it is "6S RNA". It matches the Rfam family "6S / SsrS RNA". From Rfam's summary of the family: E. coli 6S RNA was the first non coding RNA to be sequenced, but its function was unknown until recently. It consists of 184 nucleotides that fold into an extended hairpin structure with a large single-stranded internal bulge. Lineage: Bacteria; Pseudomonadati; Thermodesulfobacteriota; Desulfovibrionia; Desulfovibrionales; Desulfovibrionaceae. The record is from RNAcentral.